RNAcentral lists this long non-coding RNA (640 nucleotides) under Microcebus murinus (gray mouse lemur). Its description in RNAcentral is "lncRNA (ENSMICG00000048758.1)". Lineage: Eukaryota; Metazoa; Chordata; Mammalia; Primates; Cheirogaleidae. The record is from RNAcentral.
CUGAGGUUGACUGCCGCUGCAGCGGGCGGCAAAGUGAUCAAAGUGAGGUGGCGGGUCGAAGCAGCUCUGGGAGACGCCCACCCACCGUCUCCUCUCCGCCCCAUCUCAGGCAUCCGCCCUUCCUCUGUGUGCCCGGUGCUUACCUGAGCGGUCGCACUUACCACACGCACUGCGACGAUUUUACUCCUCUACUUCUCCCACUUCAAAUCCGGAAGUGCGGUUUAGUCUCGGUGCCCGGAGCGCGGGAGAGUCCUUGCCGUGUGUUCAACAAGUGUUGGAUGGUGGACGGACGGCUCUGUGGCGAGACCAGGAUUGUGACAGUGCCUGCCGUGAACUUUUGGUUUCUCCGUCCCCACACAAUCUUUCAGUGUUUCGGUUGCAAGGACCUCAGAAAUCAUCUGGCGGCUCUGAGAAACAGAAUGUGGUCCGUGUACCCCUGGUGGCCCAGGAGAUUACAUUAAGCUGGGUUACAGCCUUUUUACACCCGCCGAUCCUCUCAGAACCCAUGUCUCAGAGUGAAGAUUACUGUCUCCAGAUUUGGAGCUACCAAUGUAUCAUCUAUGUCCUGCAAGAAUUCCCAGGCCAUCCAAAAAGUCAUCCUCUUUUUUGGAUUAGCCAUUUUGUGAAGCCAGGCCUUUAG